ACCAGCUUUCUAUUAAUACACGAAUAUGAAUACAAGGUCUCCGAUAUUACAAUGAAUAACAUCGGCACGGUGACACUACGCCAUCCUCAGUUGCUCUAUGCAAGCAGCAGAACAACUCGAAGCAGCGGAACAACGACGACGGUGGUGAACUCCACUCCACAGGGACUCUGGCUGGAACGCUUAUCCUAGCUCGCGAACACAGGAACAACACCAAACAAGCAAGCAAUCCAGGCACGACCUGCAAGCUGGCAUGGCACUCCAGGUCAGUACAUUGAAUGUACUUGCAAGCUCACAAUAACCAGAAGCAUUCAAGACAAACAUCAGCAUGGCAUUUACAGGUUAAGCAGGAAUUAACAUGUGAUCCUCAUAACAACAUGACAUGAGCAACAUGAACAUGAUACAGCUAGAACAACAUGAGCAUGGCAUGAACAUAUGAAUCUGACGAUACUAGCAUGCAACAUGAUGACACUACAGGCACUAUUUAUUCUGCUCGGGUUACUAUGUAACCAUCACAUGCAUCACUUACCAACCUCGGACAUCACACGAUUAUCUUAGGAUCAAAUCAAGCUUGGUAUAAACAAUACCGUAGUAAUCAUUAAAUGACCACAAGGAGCUUGAUUUUUACCCAUGAUUCUCACACAACAUCACAAAUAUACAACUCGGUGAUCAUUCAUGGAUCACAAACGGAACCACUCUGGGUUCAACGGGCUACCUCGUAACCAAACGGUGAUCUUUCCGGCGAUCACAACCAUGACCAACACGUGGUCUCAAACGGUGAUCUUUCCGGUGAUCACAACCAACUUAUCUCAUCAUCGAACCGGGGUUGUCAUUAAUCAAGUUAUUAUUAAUACGGUUGACUCACGGUGUGACUGACACGAAUUGGGCCCUUAUCCGCGGGCGCGGCUAUCGAUAGAUUUAAUAUACACUUUGCAGAGGUUAGUACACUGUACCCACACUAUGGAACCCAUGGCCUCGCAUUCCCAUUCGGGUGGACCAACGGCGUUCCGACAAAACCGAUCUACUGCCAUGACACUCUCCCGGCCACUCCGACCCACUCCCAACUGGGCUAGUCCUGGGUGGCCCAGUGUCGACACAACGACCACCGUCGUGGCCAAAACGUCCCUCACGGGGACCGGGUCCAUAACAACAACAACGGGCACACAAGGCUUAUGUCUGCCUACCUGAUCAGGGUAGGCCGCCCAUAACCUUCCCUAGUUGGAGGCACCGGCGAGAGGCACGACAAUAGACCCAGUUAGGACCUUCCCAUAAAGGUAAGCGCGGUUGCACUGGUCAGUUUCGAUAUGGUGGCACCAUGACUCAGCCAACAGUUGUUCAAGUUCAAUUAAAUCCGGUUAAACUUGAAUGCAAUCUGCUGAGCCAUGAUAAAAUAACAUGAUGCAUAUACAAAGCAUGAGCAUGAUAUCAACAUAAGCACGGGAUGCAACAUAACUAUCCACCAUAACAACUAUGAAUAAUCUCCAACUGAACAUGGCAUAAUGACGAGCAUAAAUAUUACAAGUGCAACACUACUCAUAUUAUAACAUGACCACUAGCAUAACCAUAAAUACCAUGCAAGAACUCAUCAAUAACAUUACCGGGUAACACUUAACCAACUAACGGCAAAGCAACAACGCAUAUUAACAGUACUCGAUAACCGACGUUAGUCAUGCACCGAAGAACAUGACCAACCCAACAUGUACUACUAUCAAGCAUGGCAAUAUGAAAGUAAUACUAGCAACUAGCAGGGCAUGAUAACCAGGUGCAUAACAACAUAGCAAGCAAGUAAGCACUAACCCAGAAGCAUUACCGAAACAACGAUAACCAUAUUUUAAACAAGCCAUCAUUUAAUAAAUAUUCAUUUUGACAACCAUGGCUACUGCAUGAAUAUCAUGCAAGUGCGUAUUGUGGCUUGCCUCGGGAUGAAGAAGGCAUCGGGGAGAAGUGCGGUGAAGCCGCGGAAAGACUUGCCGGAAACAGUUCUCUCUCGGAGGGGCUGUUUACGUGCAAGGGCAAAAAGGUCAUUUUCACAGUGUCAAACCAUAGAGAAAAUGAAACUAACAGAACGGGCUCGACGAAACGAAGACGUGGGCUUUGGAAUCACCUCAUUUGGAGUUGCGAGCAAAAAGUUAUAGCCCGACGAAGUUCAAGGACCGAUCUGUAAAAGAAUCUCUACAAACAGGCCCCUGAGUGAGAAAACAGAAGGCGCCUAAGGAGAAAAUAGGUUUUCAAACUAUGAAAGCGCACUUACGGCUGGAGCAGAAGAGAAAUACGCUUUCUGAAGGCGAAAACGUACUUCUGCGAAGUACGCUUCCACUUAUCCACGUGGACAGUGGCGG
This 2336-nucleotide long non-coding RNA is filed under the name Triticum aestivum (bread wheat). RNAcentral describes it as "long non-coding RNA (TAES_LNC024354)". Lineage: Eukaryota; Viridiplantae; Streptophyta; Magnoliopsida; Poales; Poaceae. The record is from RNAcentral.